This 108-nucleotide small nucleolar RNA is filed under the name Eutrema salsugineum. Its description in RNAcentral is "Plant small nucleolar RNA R71". It matches the Rfam family "Plant small nucleolar RNA R71". From Rfam's summary of the family: R71 is a member of the C/D box family of snoRNAs containing the C (UGAUGA) and D (CUGA) box motifs. Multiple nearly identical copies of this snoRNA have been identified in Arabidopsis, and it is thought to function as a 2'-O-ribose methylation guide for 18S ribosomal RNA. Lineage: Eukaryota; Viridiplantae; Streptophyta; Magnoliopsida; Brassicales; Brassicaceae. The record is from Rfam by way of RNAcentral.
AAUCCAUGGUGAGGGCAAUCACGUUCAUACUCCUUAAAUCGUUCCCAGGCUUCAUAGAAAGUUUCAGUCGGUCCUUGCUGAAAACUUGAGAUGUUGGUUCUCAAGAAG